UUCUAUAAAUGUUCAGCUGGAAUCUCAGACCCUUGGGCUGCACUCACCCGGCCUGGCGGUCCUCAGCUGGACCACAGCGUGGGCGCUCCCGACUUCAUUCUCGGCCAUGCACUGGUAGACGCCUUCAUCCUCGGGCCCUACACUGACCACCCGCAGGGCCCUACGGGACAGUCGGAGGCGCUGGCUGGAGAGAGGCCGUGCAGAUAAGAGAAGGCCGAGGAGAAGAAGGCCUACAGAAGACACUCACCGAACACCUGGACGUUGUAGAGGAUGACCGCGGCCCCGGGAUCCCCAACCCCGUUGUCAGCCAUGCAGCGUUCAAUCAAGAAUCGCCUUCUCCUCAGACAUCCACAGUGAAAAGUGAAAGGCCCGAGAUUCUGCUCAAUUGCUAACCGUGGUUACAACCAGCAGGCUGAUUCCUGCUACCCAGGAGCUAUGCAGUCCUCCCCAGUAUCCUCGGAGAUUGGUUCCAGGUGCCCCAGUGGAUACUAAAAUCGGCGGAUG
Long non-coding RNA from Eubalaena glacialis (North Atlantic right whale), 504 nucleotides. RefSeq lists it as uncharacterized. The transcript has 3 exons. The record is from RefSeq and is a predicted model, not a curated record. Lineage: Eukaryota; Metazoa; Chordata; Mammalia; Artiodactyla; Balaenidae.